This 3216-nucleotide long non-coding RNA is filed under the name Nicotiana tabacum (common tobacco). Its description in RNAcentral is "long non-coding RNA (NTAB_LNC014732)". The record is from RNAcentral. Lineage: Eukaryota; Viridiplantae; Streptophyta; Magnoliopsida; Solanales; Solanaceae.
UCUUCUCUGGAAAAAGGUACGAUCCUCUAACCACUUCGGUUUCAAUGGUUUCUCUCUCUCAUUCAUCUACUUCUCUUUUAUAUAUAUUCUAUCAGUGCAUUACUUUCAUGGUUUAUUUCAUUUCGUGGGUCUUUAUCUCAGUUUCAAGGUUCUCCAUUUUGUCUAAUUUGUGAUUCUCCCUUUCCGUUUAAUUUUCUUCUGGUUGCCUUUUUGUUUUUUUUGUUUUUUUUACUUUUGGUACUCCUUUAAGUGGAAGUGCCUUGGUACGACCAAGGACAUUUCUAUAAUUCACAUGUCAAUAGCAAGCAUACAUGUUUAAAUGUAGACACAACACGUGCUAGAUGCUAUUACUCAUUUAUUUUUUUCCUCACCAGUUGCUCAUUCGUCAUUUUGGGUUAUCUUUCUAAUUCCAAAUUAAUCCGAAAGCUAAAUGUAACGACCCGACCGGUAGUUUUGAGCUCUAGCGCGUCGUUCAACGAUUUGAGGCCAUGAGUAGCUUCACUUCAGGUAUUAUGACUUGUACGCAUGGUCGGAAUUGAAAUUCGGGUAGUUCGAAUUUGAUUUGGAAAGAAAAUUCUCAUUUCAAAAGUUUUAAGUUGGAAGAAUUGACUAAGAUUGGAUUUUAGAGUAAACGGCUUCGGAAUCGGGAUUUGAAGGUUUCAACAGGUUCGUAUGAUAAUGUUGUACUUGGGCGUAUGUUCGGAUCGGGUUUUGGAUGACCCGGGAGCAUUUCAGCGUCUAUUGUGGAAGUUGGCAUUUUGGAAGAAAUUCAUAAAUUUGGGUUGAAGUGCAUUUCAGUGUUAUCGAUGUCCGUUUGGGAUUUCAAAUCUGGGAAUAGCUCCGUAUGGUGACUUUGAUAUUGGGAGCGCGAUCGGAAGUAAAUUCGGAGGUCCGUAAGUCAUUUUGGAGUCAUUUGGCUAAAGUUAGAAAUUUCAAGGUUUUUGAGAAGUUUGACUGGAAGUAGACUUUUUGAUAUCGGGGUCGGAUUCCAAUUUCGGAAGUUGAAGUAGGUCAGUAAUGUCAAAUGUGAAUUGUGUGCAAAAUUUGAGGUCAGUUGGACAUGAUUUGAUAGGUUCUGGCAUUGAACAAAGAAGUUUGAAUUUCUGAAGUUCAUCAAGUUUGAAUUGGGGUGAGAUUCGUGAUUUUAGUGUUGUUUGAUAUGAUUUGAGGCCUCGAGCAAGUCCGUAUUAUGUUUUCAGACUUGUGCGAGUGUUUGGUUCGGAGCCUGGAGGCUCGGGUAAGUUUCGGAGUAGAUUCAGAGCAUUUUGUUGAGAAGUGGGAUUUCUGAUACUGGUGCGAUCGCAAUUGCGAUGUUUUGAUCGCAAAUGCGGUCAUAGCAUUUGUGGGGUUUUGUUCGCAUUUGCGAACCUGGGAGCUGAGGGGAUAGUUCACAUUUGCGACAAAUGGGUCGUUUUUGCGAGGCCUGAAGGGUUCGCAUUUGCAAACCCUGUAUCGCAUUUGCUAUCUCCCUUUCGCAAAUGCGACAUCUGCGACUGGAACCAAGGGCUUUUUAUUCUGAGACUUAGCCCAUUUCCCUCAUUUUCCACUUGGUCAUAGGCGAUUUUUGAGGGCAUUUGAGAAGGGGUUCCAUCAUCAUCAAGAGGUAAGUGAUUUCUUCUAGUUAUGGCUUAAAUUCAAGGAUUAUAUAUGGAUUUAAACAUGUAAAAUUGUAGAAAUUAGGGAUUUUGAAGAAAAAUCUAAAAAUUGGUAUUUUUGGAUUUUGACUACAACUUUGGGCAUGGAAUUGGAAAUAAAUUAUAUAUUUGAGUUCGUGGGGUUAUGGGUAAAGUGUAUCUUAAAAAAUUUCAGAAUCCGGACACGUGGGGCCGAGGGUGAUUUUAUCGACUUUCCGAACAGAGUUGAAAAAUUGUUGUAAAUAGGAUUAUGAUGAAUAUUAGAGUAUAUAUUUAUGAAAUUUCUCAAUAUAUGACUAGUUUUGGAGCGUCGAGCAUUGAUUUGAGUUGUUUGAAGGGCUUCGGAGCCGGAUAUGGAACUUCGAAGCGAGGUAAGUAUCCUUUCUAACCUUGUAAGAGGGAUAUAACCCCGUAAGUGAACUAAAUUAUUAUGCGUUUCUACUUGUGAGGGCUACGUAUGUACGAGGUAAUGAGAGUCUGUACGUAGCUAUUAGUUAUGCCUAUGUCCGGGUAGUUUUAGGCUCACAUCAUGCCUUUUCGAUAUUGUUUUUGAUCUAUGCUCAUUGUUGCCUUGAGAGGGAGCGAGAUUGAGUUUGCUUAUUAAAUAUUUUGAAAGGAGUUGAAAUUAAAGAAUUUAAUAUUUAAAAGGUUUCAUUUGAACUUCGUAAUUUCGAAAAGAAUUGAGGAAUAUUAUAACAGCUUAAGAAAUCUAUGUGCAUCCGCGUCGCAUGUAUGUUUCGCGAGCGGGGUAAUUUCCUUAAAAAAGCUACAAGCUGAAUUUCCCUUAUUUUAAAAUGAAUUAAGAAAGAGAUAUGAUUUUAAUGUUAAAUUUAUAUUUGAACGCGUCGCAGGUAUGAUUUGCGAGCGGGGUAAUUUCUUAAAUUUAUAUUUGACUGCGUCACAUGUAUGAUCGCGAGCGGGGACUGCGUCACAUGUAUGAUUCGAGAGCGGGGAAAUAGAUGCAUCUAUGGUUCACACCGUUCGACCCUCGGUAGUGCACAAUUUAUAUUUAUGUUGGAUCGGGUCGAACGUCCUCGGUGAAAAUUAUGUGUGACAAUAUAUCUGGAAACCCUUUUUAUAAUUUGUAUAAAUUCAUCGUUGAAAGAUCAUUUAUUUUAAAUGAAGGGAGUGUUUUGGGGUUCCUUAAUAAUAAUGAAAGAAUUGUCCAGUUCUCUUCUUGUUUUGAGUUUGGUUGUGUUCUCUACAUAUCAUGUUAAAUUAGAACUUUAUAUUAUGAUAUUAUUGGACCAUUAGUAAGUGUCGAAGUCGAUCUCUCGUCACUGCUUCUUCGAGGUUAGACAGAAUACUUACUGGGUACGCUUUAUUUUUGUACUCAUACUACACUUGCUGUGCAUUUUUGUUGCACAGGCACAUGUACGUCUAGUGGCCUCGUUGGGCGCAGCGGCAUGGUGGAUACAGAGGCUUGGGUGAGCUGCAUCUCUCAAGACGACCCGCAGCCUGUAGAGUCUCUCUCGGAGUAUUGUAUUGUAUUUUCUCUACCGUCCAAUUUGUAUUCCGGACGGUUAUUAUAUUACAUUUACUUCCUAGAAAUUGCUCAUGCACUUGUGACACCGGGUUUUGG